Molecule: transfer RNA, 71 nt
Filed under: Marmota monax (woodchuck)
Lineage: Eukaryota; Metazoa; Chordata; Mammalia; Rodentia; Sciuridae
Description: tRNA.Ala
Rfam family: tRNA
About the family: Transfer RNA (tRNA) molecules are approximately 80 nucleotides in length.
Source: RNAcentral
GGGGCUGUAGCUCAGGGGCAAAGCGCUUGCCUAGCAUGCAGGAGGCACUGGGUUCGAUCCUCAGCACCGCA